Molecule: ribosomal RNA, 697 nt
Filed under: bacterium IRQ_43
Lineage: Bacteria
Description: bacterial SSU rRNA
Rfam family: Bacterial small subunit ribosomal RNA
Source: RNAcentral
AUACCCUGGUAGUCCACGCCGUAAACGAUGUCGACUUGGAGGUUGUGCCCUUGAGGCGUGGCUUCCGGAGCUAACGCGUUAAGUCGACCGCCUGGGGAGUACGGCCGCAAGGUUAAAACUCAAAUGAAUUGACGGGGGCCCGCACAAGCGGUGGAGCAUGUGGUUUAAUUCGAUGCAACGCGAAGAACCUUACCUACUCUUGACAUCCAGAGAACUUUCCAGAGAUGGAUUGGUGCCUUCGGGAACUCUGAGACAGGUGCUGCAUGGCUGUCGUCAGCUCGUGUUGUGAAAUGUUGGGUUAAGUCCCGCAACGAGCGCAACCCUUAUCCUUUGUUGCCAGCGGUCCGGCCGGGAACUCAAAGGAGACUGCCAGUGAUAAACUGGAGGAAGGUGGGGAUGACGUCAAGUCAUCAUGGCCCUUACGAGUAGGGCUACACACGUGCUACAAUGGCGCAUACAAAGAGAAGCGACCUCGCGAGAGCAAGCGGACCUCAUAAAGUGCGUCGUAGUCCGGAUUGGAGUCUGCAACUCGACUCCAUGAAGUCGGAAUCGCUAGUAAUCGUAGAUCAGAAUGCUACGGUGAAUACGUUCCCGGGCCUUGUACACACCGCCCGUCACACCAUGGGAGUGGGUUGCAAAAGAAGUAGGUAGCUUAACCUUCGGGAGGGCGCNUACCACUUUGUGAUUCAUGACUGGG